UCUUAAAUGUUAAUCACAUCAAGAACAGAAAUUGGUACUAAUCUUAGAAGAAAAGUGGAGGAGUUGUGAGGUCUGUCCGCACAUAGACACCGGAAACUCUCCGAAUCUAACGCCGAACCACAAAUCCCACCGGAAUCAAUGCAUCUCCGGCAAGCUUUGUCUUCCAUGAUGUACCUCAAAUCGAAUCCUUUUCUCAAAGCUUCCACAAAAGUUAGUUCGGACCGUUGAAGCUCGUCCUUAGCAGACCUCAGCAUCGGAAUUUCUGCAUAUUUCAUACAACCUUCGUCAGAAUCCGACGAUCGCAAGACAUGAUAUGUCACCGGAUCCUCGUAGCUUUCUUCGCAAGAAAUCUGCAACGGAGCUACGCCGGAACAGUUGACGAAUACAUCGAUCGUCUCGGUGUUGGAGUCUAAUGUGAACUGAUUCUUCCCGUUGAAGUUCCAAAUGUUUAGGCAACCUCCGUCUAGUAGACUAUCAUCGGCAACGGAAAUUUUAUGAUCCUCCAGAUUCGCAGAAACAACGCGAAGAGUGAUGUUCCCGAUCGCUAGGGUUAGGUUUUGAUCACCCUCGCAGGAGAGUUUGAAUGACGAAUGACCGCAGAAUUUGGGUUUAUUGAAUCCACCCCAGAACGGAUACGUGGUACUCUCGAAUACCCUGUGUCCAGAUCCACAUGUCAGAUUACGUGAGCGACACUCCUCGUACUGUUGAUCGGCUGAGAAGCACGACGGGAGGUCAGCGACGGAGAAGACGACGAAGCUGAUGAAGAAAAAAAAGAUGGACAUUGG
Molecule: long non-coding RNA, 785 nt
Organism: Arabidopsis thaliana (thale cress)
Lineage: Eukaryota; Viridiplantae; Streptophyta; Magnoliopsida; Brassicales; Brassicaceae
Product: other RNA
Exons: 2
Source: RefSeq